This is a long non-coding RNA of Cucumis sativus (cucumber), 7544 nucleotides long. RefSeq lists it as uncharacterized. NCBI's taxonomy places the organism in Eukaryota, Viridiplantae, Streptophyta, Magnoliopsida, Cucurbitales, Cucurbitaceae. The transcript is spliced from 5 exons. The record is from RefSeq and is a predicted model, not a curated record.
GCCCGGGAGUGUCUUCCGGAAUCGAGGAAAUUCACCUUUUUGAAGUUACAGUCUCGCAGUUGAACUCCUCUCCGCUCUGGUCUCGCUUCUGAUCGAAAGUCAACUUCGUCAAAGGCCCUUGCCUUCUUACAAUUAAGGAUAGUGAUUCAGAGUUGAUACAGUCAAAAUCAAGCGUGGGUGGUCUCGACUCAAUUCCAUCUCGCCUUUCUGCCUCUUUCUCUUCCCUUUCUUCCGAUCCUUUAUUCCGAUCCGAAAGAGAGAAUGAAAUGAAAGAAUAAGGAAUAAUCCCACGAGGCGAAGCUUGGACCGCUCUGGCGGACAAGUGCUACAGAGCAGAAUCAUAAUAGACAAGGAACUUUCAAGCUCAAGGGAUGGGAUGCCUCUCCAACUAGUAGGGAGCUGCUUACUGCGCUUCCUUCUAACUUCUAACCUGGCGCCUUGACCUUCCUCGUCACGGGAUCCCACGUAGCGGGAUGGCAUGGUAGCGAUGGGUUCUAGAACCGAUAUAUAUAACCUGCUUUCCCUCGGCGCGUCUACUUUCUUGCUUACCUGACUGAAGAUUGACGAGAAAUAGCAGCAAGGCCGCAUCCUCUUUCUCUCUCGCUUUCCAGCGAAUCAUUUUCCCUUUGGGCGGAGGUUUCUCGAUCAUCAUUCCCUUGAGUAUGAAAGAGCAGACUAAAGCAGCGGUCUAAUUCCCCUUCCCAGGCAGGCAGUCUCUAAUUAGAAUCCCAGGAUUCAGCCGAGAUAAGUUAUGCAUGAAAGAGCCUAACUAAAGAAAUGAUUAUCGCAUGGGCGACCUCUAUCCCGAUCGAUUCCCCCUCACAGUCGAGCCGCUUUCUGAGUCGCCCUACUCCUUCCUGGCUGCAGAUGCAUUAUUGAAUGAGAUAUAUGACUGGGGCCCCACGUAGCGGUAGGAAUUUGGAUGCUUGCCCAGUCUUUUGAGGAAAACUCUUUCCCUUGGUUCUCUAUUGCCUAUGGAUGAACGAAAGCAAUGCUUGCUAUGACUGGCAGCACUCUUCGAGUCACUUUUAUUAGAUUUGAAAAUCUCAAAGAAUGAAGUUUAUAGAUAAGAAAAGCCUUAGGAAUAAGGAUCUCAUUCUCUCGCUUUCUACUACAACUAAAGCUACUGCUACUUCUCGAAACAUCAACUUCUUCGGAAACCUCCCUUUCAAAGAAAGAAGACUCCGCAUCCGGAAUUGAGUAAACUCCAUUGGUCCAACUCGAAUGAGGGUCAAUCUUUGAACCUUUCACAGCAGCUUCCGAUUGAUCCGGAUGGAUCUUACCUUUAUGCCUGGUAAAUGACCUCCCCGGACCAGUUUCCUCUUGGCAAACUCGGUGGGGUGGAGGUGGAUCCCUCUUCUUCCUCUUUAGUCCCUUUCUCAUUCCUAUUGAGCGCCACGGACUCUGUCUCGAUUCCCUUUCUGCCAGGAAAAGAAAAUGCAAACAAAGCGCUUCGUACUUCUCCCGAGCUACUAUGAAAAUGGACUUUUUACGUUAUUAGAUCAAAGUCUCUAUUUACGCUAUUUUUAGUCAUUUUGGAAUAGUCCGAAGGCGCAAAGUUGCGUCCUAGGCUUGAUGAAUGAAAGCUAUAAAAGCAGAGCGCAAAGAAUUUGCGAAACAAGUCCUCCGCUUUCGCCUCAAAUUAAUGGGAACCUUGGUCUAAUCAAUCACAAUUGAUUAAGAAUCUUUGACCCGUCCUCCGGACUAUCCAUUAGGAUCUGGAGCCUUUGUUUUUGGAGUAUUAAGACCGCUCCUUUCAGUUAUUUAACAGCUUUUUUUCGGAAUAAUACUUUGAUAGUGGAAUCAGACUUUUUAAGCUAAAAUAAUGAAAGGCCUAUCCAUUAGAGAAUUUGACUUGCGACUAAAAAAAGAAAAGCUCUAACUCCUCCGGACUAUCCGUAUGAACCUAGCCUUCGGACCAGAUGAGUUGAAUGAAGAAUGAAUCUACCCUUUACCGCUAAAUAGGAGCAGCAGCAAAAGCAAAGGUCUAGAUUUUCUGACUCAUCUGGACCUUUCUUUGAGAAAACCAAAAUCAGAGCUAUCCCUAAUGUUCUUCUUUGAGCCUUCGGAGCGGGAGGGCUCCUUUUUAGUGGACGCUACUUGAUUAUGGGGGGAUGAGACCCAACUAUAAGACUCAAUCUUAGACUUUUCUUAUCUAAGGCCUAAUUAUAAGGCGCAAAGAAUAUUGCUCAUUUGAGAUCAGGUCCAUAUUAAUAUUAACCUGUCACCUGGACCUUUGUUUUCCUAAUUAGAAUAGCGAAUAGUCCUCCGCCUCUAGUUCCCACGUAGCUAAAGAUUCACCGAAAAUCUGAGCAAUAUUCUUUGGGCCUCUGUAGCUUAAUAUGGGAACCUAAUCAAUAUAUAAAGACUUCUUGAAUAUGAAUUCAUCCUCAUCUGGAGCCUCCUUUGUUUUUCUUUAAAGUAAUAGCUAUGAAUAGUCCAAAAACAAAGGUCCGAAGGCGCAAAGAAUAUUGACGAAAAGAAGAAUGAACUCAUUAACUCGAAUGAAAGAAGAAUUCUGAUUGAAUCACCCAUAACCUGGAGGGAAAUCCAGAAUAGACCCGUAUUUCUCCGGACCAGAAACCAUAAUCAAACUCUGUUCAUUGAUUUGACCUUUCCUAGGAGUUCUUCUUUCAUUGCGUUUUCCCGGCUUUUUUGCUUCUAAAUAGGACUAAAUCAAAGAUUUCUAUUUAACGAAAAUUGUCUAAAAAUGACUGAUUUUUCAUGAUUUCUUGCUACUUCCCUAUGGGCAAAACCUAGCAUUUCCCUCCGCGGAUUCAUCUGAAAUCUAGCAGAUUCUUUUUGUUUUUAGCUUCUUUUCUUGACUUUUGUGCCAGUCCUUCGGACCUGUCAUCUGGACCUUUCUUUUUUGGACUAUUCAACCUAUUACUUUGAGCCUUGCCAAAGGUGAAUGAAUGAAAUUCAAAAAUACAUAGAUAAGAAAGAGUACGGAUGUCCCACCAAUUCUGAUCCGAAAAUCCUUUGAACUGAAAAAGAUGAAAAGAAAGCGCGGAGAUUCUCAUAUUUGUUUGUGGCACUCUUUCUUUGCUUAGUCCGAGCAGCUUCCAGUGAAGAUCUUUCCCAAGGCUAAGAAUUGGCUGAUUUCUUCACUUACGAAAGACAUAUCUCACAAUCCCGGGAAAUCCCCUUUUCUUGAAAGAAUUCCAAUCCGCCCCAGUAAAACAAGAAAGAGGGAGUAUUGUCAAUUUCCUGACUUUUUCCACUGGACUUCCCAAAGGUCUGAAACAAGAGGUCUACUUAAAAGAACUUCUGCCCGGAUAAUAGAAUCGGGAAAGCCUCUACCGAUGCCAUUCCCGGGCAAAAGCUUGCUUGCUCGCCUAUAUUGCCCUUUCCCCGUGCGGGGAAUCGUCUUAUCAUUCGCCGCCGGGUCGCCGUGCUCUUCCGGACAGCCGAUCAAAAUCUCUCCUUCUAUCUGGAUGCCCAGCCUUUCAGAGGAUUCCUUCAGCUUUAAGGUUGGACAUGGGCCCCACACCUCGUUUUCUUUCUCCUCGUGACGGUCCACCCAUACAUGUCAAAAAGACAGAUUUUUUGAGCAGUUUUUUUCUUUUUAGAAAGAGAGGCCAAAGGGCCCCGACGUCUCCCUCGUCCCAUUUGUCUGGGAUCCAUUCGUCUGAGAAAGCAAUUCCAUUAGAAUGCAGCGGAGUCCUUUCCGCAAGGGGAAUAUAUGCGAACUGCAACACAUUCAUGUCCAUUUUCCUCAAUCGGGAGGCAGGAAUUCUUCUUAUAUCUAUUCUUGGAUUUUCGUCGUUAUGUAAUAAAUAGAGGUCGCUCUCUUGGGUUCCCUCAAUGAAAAGGACGGAUUUCAGUUUCCGCUUCCUAAAAAGAGGUUUUUCUAUAAAAGGGAGUUCUAGUUUCGUUUUGGAUUGGGCCGGCGGCCCUGUCUCCACGAAUAAUAGGCUGCCCUUCGGCACAUGCAACCAUACAUGGUUGCGGCUAUUCUGUCCUCUUGUAGGUCUUCGCAGUGGGGGGAGUCGAAUGCUAAAGGCAUAAUUCUUGUACCCCUUUCUUUCUAAAGCUUUUGGGCAAGAGUUUUCCCAUCAAAAGGUACGUUAGCCGUUAAAAGUCUUUUCAUAUUUGGCAUCUAGCCUGCACUCCUGCCCAUCAAGAAGAGGGAGAAGGUCCCUCGCGGAGGAGGGCUGCUCGCCUUCAUCAUAUUCGUUUUCUUCGAUGAACUCGUCGAAGACCCAAAAAUCAAAGAAAUCAUGGGCUCCGGAGUAGUCAUUCCUUCUUUUCCCGACUCCUUAAGCCAAUCUUUUUAAGAAGACUUAUAAGGAGGGUUUUCCGCGUAUUUGAUCUUCCGUAGAGAAAGAGCAGCCUUGUCUUUAUUGGCCGCUCGAAGAGAAGGUUGGUUGCUAUCCAAUUCAGCAGGAGAUACUUGUCUUGCAAGAAUUCGUCAGUGUAUUCUUGGGGCCGGCCUUUCCUUUCUAGAUAGUCUACGAGAAUCUCCAUAGGGGAUAUCUCCCGCAUCUUGAUGCGCUGGGAGUCCUACCAAAGAUUUUGCACACUAUUAUAGUUGUCUUUUACUCUCAAACAAAUAUGAUUCAUAGCCCAAAAAGAAAGGCGCAAAGAAUAUUGCGAGAUUGAAUAUGGAUAAAAAUCAGUCCUUCGGACGGGUAGAAAACUCUUAAUAGUGGAAGGCAAUCGCAUCUCUUCUAACUCCGGCUCAAUGAACAUCCAUAAAUAAAGGGAUCUUGUGCUAGGAUCAAAGAAUAUUGAGAAGACCUCCUACGCAGUUCAUUUAUGCAACUCAACCUAAAAAAUACUGUUUUUUUGAUUGGAAAGACUAUGUCAAAGAUUAAUAUCGUAUGCGAAGCGGAGCAUGAAAUGAAAUUCAGACUACUCAAAUAAUAGAGAAUAAGUUCAGACGACUCCUUCUCCGGGAGCGCAAAUCAGACGACGAAGGCAGACCAGACUAUUAUUUCAGAGAAGAAAGAGAAGUCCCUUUAGAGGCUCACGCAAUAUUCUUUGCGCCUCCUGGAGGCUGGGUCAGGACGAUGAAUUCAUACUCGAAGGACUCUAAAAGGCGAAGCCAAGCGACUAUAUAUAAUCUAAUAAGAAAAGACGACUCGCAACUCAUAUUACAUUGAGCCUCGUCUUUGAAAAACAUUAGUAUGCGAAGCGACUGUAUAUAAUAGACAAAGACAAGAUCCUUCUACAGAAGCGCAAAAAGGAUCUGAUAAUCAGCCAAGGCCUAACCUACUAUUUGGAAUGCGGAGGAGUCAAAUAAGAAGCUGGAGGCUGGGUAGAAAGAGGGUUUCGAUCAGUAAAUUAAUCACUCCUUUUCAUUCUGAAUCUGAAUGAGGCAUGAAGAAGAAGGACUGAAAGCAAGUCCGAUUCCUUAACUUAAGAGCAAUCGGCUCCUGGUGGCUCAGGCUUCUCUUCUAGCUCCCCAUCUCCCGCACUCUGGAAGCUACCUGUCCGCCUCAACGCAACGGAUCUGGAAUCUUCCGAUGAAAGUGAUCCAUCCUGAUUAGAGGCUAGAACUGAGAAUCACCUUUUGGCUGAAUACAGGCAUACCGAGGCCAAGGCCUGUAGUCGAAUUAAUUAUACUCUUUGAUAUCCUUCUCGCUCCCUCUUUUCUUGCACUCCUUUCUCCUUCGCAAUAUUCUUUGCGCCUUUGUUUGGUGUAUUCAUUAAAUAAGUUGGCUAGUUGGCCAUCUCCGGACAGGCUCCCCCCGGUCACCUGUCCUCCCCUCCACCUGGAAAAGUGCGGAAGACUGACUUAAACAGUCUGAUUCAGUCGCUACGCUCCAAGGGGAACUACUACUGAAGUAGCUACGCGUAGGGGUAUCUAUCUCUCAAUAAAGAUAGAGUCAGUGAUCCGCGUACUCAGCAGAAGCAACCUUCACCUCCGAGAGUUGGUAGUUCAAGGAAGAAGAAAGCCUAUCCUAAUCGCAAAUUCUUUGCUCCUCCACCAGAAACACAAGCAAGAAGGAAGGGGAACUACUACUGAAGUAGCUACGCUCCUGAAGUCGCUACGCUCAAAGGGGAACGGACUUUCCGGGGUAGCUCUAUCUUUCCAAGCAGUAGAUUCAGUCGCUACGCUCCGGCCAGCGAGGGAAGGUUUGCUUUUCUCAUAUAUUGAUUGAUGAAAACGGUGUAUGCCCGAAACCGAAAGAUCGCGACUAGGGACAUCGUUGUAAACGGGCAUCAAUCGGUAGGCUCUUUCUAGAGCCCAGAGAUCGAGGUCCUGGGUGGCUGUCGGAAAACAGUGUCUCAGCCUACCGCCAUUAACUGGGUGGAGACCUGGUUCUAAUGGCACGCUGAUGAAAGCGACGGUGGCUCCAUACCCCUAAGAUAAGAGAAGAGACUUUCAGUUUCUCUCUCUACUUUGAACAUCUGGACCUUUGUUUUUGCUUCUACGUCUGAAGACCGAAGGACUCUCAAAUCCGGAGGACCGUCCGAAGGACUAGUCUUUUAGUGGUUUUUCGCAAAUUCUUUGCUCCUUUUUAGGAGCGCAAGUACAGAAAUGGAAUAUGAACCUGUCCGCAACUCAAUUCAUUCAGCCUCAGGCAAACCGCAAUAUUCUGCAUUGAGCCUUCGGACCCUCUCGCAAUUCCCCGUCACCUGUCCGGAGCCCGCAGGAUUCUUAUCCGGAGUCCGGAGUCCGCAGGGCCAAAGAAAGGUCCAGGGUCCGGAGGAUUUAUCCGUAGGACUAUCCAUAUGGAAGUAGGACCAUCCGUAAUUAACAGAAGUAGGACUAUCCAUUAGGAGAGCUGAAAAGAAUAUUGAAGCAAGAAAGAAAGUCAAAUGGGUGGUUUUGAACUCAAUUAUCGUAGAGUAGAUAGAGUCUCUAUUUAUUUAUGUUAUGCUAUUUGAGUGGAAAAAGAAGAAAAAAUCCCGGGGUUUUGCAAAGAAAAAAAGAAGAGACUUUUUCUAUCUCAUUUGCUUAACACAUACAAGAUUUUCAUAGCCAUGUCUUUGAAGAACUCCCCCUUUUCCUUCCCCAGAAGAAAGUUCACUCACAGUAUGUUCAUUCAGCUGUUGUGAUUAGUUUGUAGAAUUGAGAGGAGCAUUGCCCAUGGUUUAUCUUUUUUGGUUCAUCAUCAAAAACCACCGUAGCCGAUCGUGGGGAUCCUAACGAUCCCCGAGUAAGAUUAAAACGUGAUUGCGUUGGGAUUAUGGCUGCUUUCAAACUUGGGCAGCCUUUUCAUCAUGUUGUAAUUCUAGCCAACACCCAUCUUUGUUGGGAUCCAGAAUGGGCUGAUGUGAAGCUCGCUCAGGCUAAGUAUCUUUUAUCACGCCUAGCUCGAUUCAAAUCUUUAGUUGCUGAAAAGUUUGAAUGCACACCCUCAGUACUUUUGGCUGGCGAUUUCAAUUCAACCCCAGGAGAUAAGAAUUCAGAUGGUACAAACUCUAUACUUUCCUCCUCAUUCUGCUUCAUGAGGAGAAAGGCAAUCUGUCAAAGAGUUGAAGGAGAAGACAGAAGAACUUAAAGGUCACAUGAAGACCUAAAAGUUAGGCUGGGUGGCCAAUUCAAUGGAUGGCCUGAGACGGUGAAAUGACGAGUGUAGAACAAAGUA